RNAcentral lists this ribosomal RNA (398 nucleotides) under Leptodactylus macrosternum. Its description in RNAcentral is "partial 16S ribosomal RNA". It matches the Rfam family "Bacterial large subunit ribosomal RNA", at positions 1971 to 2515 of the family's 2925-position model. Lineage: Eukaryota; Metazoa; Chordata; Amphibia; Anura; Leptodactylidae. The record is from RNAcentral.
GUUCUUUAAUGAGGACUAGUAUGAAUGGCACCACGAAGGUUAUACUGUCUCCUUUCUUUAAUCAGUGAAACUAAUCUCCCCGUGAAGAAGCGGGGAUAAGCCUAUAAGACGAGAAGACCCUAUGGAGCUUUAAACAUAAGUAACAACUGCUCAUUAAAUUUUUUAAUCUCAGGAAAUUAAUCACAACACUUAGGCACUUUGAUUACAAGUUUUAGGUUGGGGUGACCGCGGAGCAAAAAAUAACCUCCGCAGUGAAUGGAACUUAUUUCCUAAACCCAGGGCUACGACCCUAAGAAUCAAUAAAUUGACACUGAUUGACCCAAUAUUUUUGAUCAAUGAACCAAGUUACCCUAGGGAUAACAGCGCAAUCCACUUCAAGAGCCCCUAUCGACAAGUGG